This is a long non-coding RNA of Phacochoerus africanus (Common warthog), 303 nucleotides long. RefSeq lists it as uncharacterized. NCBI's taxonomy places the organism in Eukaryota, Metazoa, Chordata, Mammalia, Artiodactyla, Suidae. The transcript has 3 exons. The record is from RefSeq and is a predicted model, not a curated record.
UUCUGUCACUCGGGUCGAGAUGCAGCCUCUGCAGAAUCCAAAGGCAGUCAGAACUCUUCACGGACUGUCCAGUCACCUGGACCUCAGGCUACCUGAGCUGUCAGAAAGUGACCCGCAGAUGGGAAGAGCAGGACAAGGUCCUCCCUAUCAGGAACAAUGGUUUCAGCUCUCCUAGGCAAACACCGUGCAUUCCUGGCUCUGGAAAACUGCAUGCCAAAUUUUCUGACCAACUACUUGUGGGUUGAGAGUUCUCCUUUGGGAGAACCCCAAAGUCAGCCAGACGCCUGACUGCCAGUCCCAGGG